Molecule: long non-coding RNA, 4576 nt
Organism: Triticum aestivum (bread wheat)
Lineage: Eukaryota; Viridiplantae; Streptophyta; Magnoliopsida; Poales; Poaceae
Exons: 6
Source: RefSeq, a predicted model, not a curated record
CGUCCGGGCGCCCCCCUAUCCCCUCCGUGCGCCGAAGCAAGGGACGCCCCCAACCCCAAUCCUGUUCGCGCGCGGCUCCACCGUCCCGGUUCCCCUUUGUGGCCGGCACCGCGGAGCAUGUGCUUCCUCCUGCUCGCCGUUGCUGCCCGCCAUCGUCAGCUCCUCCGUUUGCCCGAACAACAGCAACUACGAGGCCGGCGCCUCCGUCCGCCCCUAUAACAGCAGCUGCGCGGCCGACACCUCCAUUUGCCCCCCAACAACAGCAGGUGCGUCGAUGGCGUCUCCAAGGAACUCGCCUCCUUAUGCAACUCCCUGGGCGCCGAGGUAGAGGCAGGGAUCUCCUGCUCAGACAUCACGGAGUGGAAGGCUUAACAUAAUAGAUUAUCUGAUGGGGAUGAAGCUAAAUCUUCUGCUGGAAAGGACUUCCCUGCUCUGAGUAUGUCAGAGAUUCAGAAUGCUCGCUGUAUCAUGGAUUUACUGCCAGAGAUGUUGAAUGCUUUAGACCGUGGAAACAGAGAGCUGGCCAAGAUAUUUGAGGCCAAGAAGUUGAAGAUAGUUCCUAGUUGCCUUGCCAUACGCUGUGUUUGUCAUCCUCACUGGCGAACUGAUCAUAAUAUCAUCCCACCAGCGUCCGUCAAUAUGAUCGCGGGUUCCUCUCUUCAAUUGGCUCUGUCUUGGCGAGAAGAUUUGAUGGCAGCUUACUGAUUUGACGACAAACAGCCUACUUCAGAGCUCUAUGCAUAUGGACUCAUGUAGCUCAGAAGAAAAUUUGUUCAUUUUGGAACUUCCCUGCAGCUUCCACAGGUAUUCAUUUAACCUCCCAUGACAAAUAUGACGAAUUGAAACAUUCUCAUUGUGCUGUAUGGAGGUAUCCAGCUACACCUGGAGACACUAGGAUCAGGGAAAACUACGCUACAAUCAUCCUUAAAUCUUCCCACCAAAGUGGUAAAAUGGUCGAACUCGUUGGUGUUUUUUCUUUGAGAUGGAAAUUACUGCAUUUUAUUAUUCAGAAAUUUUGGCACACUCCUAGAGCACCAAGCCAAGGGUGGCAGACCUGAUCAUGGGCAGCCCGGCCCGAAAAAUGGGCCAGGUUGGGCUCCAUUUCGCUGCCUGAAAGUCCAUUCUAGCCGGGCUCAGGCUUUAGUUCUGCGGCACUUCGGGCCGGGCUUACACGUGCGCGUUCUGAAAACAACAUUUGAGCUGGGCUUUUGGGCUUGUUUUCAGGCCAGCUUGGGCUUGAGGAAAGGGGCAACUUUGGGCUUCGGUGCUGGCUCGGGCUUGUAGUUCGAGGUUCAGGCUUUUUUAAGCCCAACUCAAAACCCGGCCCGACAUAUGAUCAGGUUUACGCGGGGUACAUGUAACCAUAUUUUACAAAUUUUAUUAUUUCUACGACCUUCCUUAGCUAAAAUAUGUGCUAUGAGGGUAGCACACUGAGCGUGUGGUUACCGAAGUGAAAGUCCCAAGCAGGGUUGUAGAGAACCAUGUCGAGUUUGACGAGAGUUGGAUUUUCACGCUCGUUGCUCCAUGUAAACUUCCUAUUCUGAAGGUGGAUUUCCUUCAGAGAGCAAUUAGAGAGAGAGUGCUCCCUAAGAGAUCCACUAUCCGAAGAUUUAGGUUGAGGUUGUUUCCUACCGGCCUCUUGGUAAAUGAGGUUAAAGUCACCCAUAACCAGCCAUAUACUGUCACUUGUUAACCUAUUAUUAUACCUUUUCUCUAGUCCCAUGAAAUUCUCAAACUCAAAGAUGGAUGCAUAUGUUGUGUAAAUUUUUGCUAAAUGGUAUCAAUAAAUAGCGUAUCAGCUCCAUAAAUUUGACAUCACAAUAAUUAUAUCAGAAAUUACUUAAUUUGGUGAACUUAUUUUAUAGGUUGUUCAAAAAGUAGGUGCCAGAAAAUUAGCAACAUGCUUGAUUAAGUAGAUCAUAAUCUAACUUAUGAAAUGCAUCCAUACUAAAAGUGAGCAAUCCCUAUCUUUGAACUUGCCGACAUAAGGGUACCGUGAAAAAAACACUUCGUCUUGUCCGCUCCCGCGAGGGGGGGGGGGGGACCCUAGAUCGAGUGGUCGCCCGCCUCCCUCCCCGUCGGAGUGCGUAGUCGGGGAAACCCCACUCGGCGUAGGCGGCGGGGGGCUCUCUUCCUUCUCGUUGGCCCCCUGCAACGUGGGAUGCGGUGGCCACCCGAGGGCGCGACACUUGACAGGGCUUGGCGGCACGGCUGGUCGUGCCAGCGGCGCGGGCAGCCGUGGUUGCUGCGGAGGCUGCGUGGAUCCGGCUAGGCGUGGGGCGGCGGGGACGGCGAGCGGCUAGUGCGAAGGUUCGUGGCGGCGGCGGCUAUCACGCCGCGGUAGGGUGCAGGGGGCCGAGGGCACCAAUGGCGGGGUCGUGCGCGUGCACGCUUAGGCCGGCCCCUGGCUUGGGGUGGCUGGUUGCUUCCGGCCGUGUUCAUGGCGGCCGGUGCGCUAGCCGAUCCGGUGGUAGCGUGCCCAGCAGAUUCAACGCCUGGAGUUCGGCGGGCGGCGUGGGAUGGGCAGUGGCCUGGUGUGGCUGCUGCUCUGGCCGUGGAUGUAUCCACGAUAGCUUGGCAGGUCGGAUGCGGCGGCGGCUGACAUGUUUCGGCGUUGGUUCGUCCGUAGGCGGCGUGCGUACCUUCGAUUCCUCUCCCCGUUGUCCAUGCGCCACUUCCUUCGAAGGGCUGGACUUCUCCCAGCUGCGGUUCAUCGCUCGUCUCGCGCCCGACAGCACGACCGAGCUCGUCCCGUGCCCGGCAGCAGGACCGUGCUCGUCUUGCGCCCAGUAGCAGGACCACGCUCGUCUCGCACCCGACGACAGGACGGGCCGAUGGAGGCCAGUUUGGCCGGCCUAUUGGGUCUCGGCGUUGGGGGCAGCUCAGGGGUGCUAAAGGCGGGGCCUUUCCACUCAUCUCUUUGGGUGGGGUGGCGCUGGGUGGGGUGGCGCUGGGUGGCGAGUGAGGUGGCGUCAAGGUCUUGGAUGCCGGGGCGACGGCCCUGGUGGUGGUGUCGCGGUGCUCAUGGGCAAAGCCCGUGCCUUGGUGCUGCCUGGUGACCAUGAUCGUGUGGGCGGCAUGGUCGCCGGGGUGUGGCGUUCGGUGGCGAUGAGUAUUGGGCCGGGGUAAAAACCUGUUCUAUCUUCGGACGGACUGGCGGCGGCGAAACUCGUUCCCUUCUUGAAGGCGUCGUCGCAGUCUUCAUUGCCCGUCGUGUUGCUCUAGGGGAAACUCUGACCCUCGGGUCGGGCGGUGGCGGCGCUCCGGUGUCGUAUCCUUUCUGAAGGCACCGCCUUGGAGCCUACGGGUCGUCAUAUGCGGCUUCAUCUCUUUGCGGUGGCGUGUUCACGGUCGAGGACCCGACUGCUCUUGUAGUGCUUAGAGUGGUGUUGCUGCGCUCAGUGCAUAUGUGUCUUGCCUUGGGUGUGUGCGAGUGUUGUGAUGGCGUGCAAUUUUUCCCGGGUUGUUGUUGGUCGAUACUUUAUAGAUAAAGCGGGGCGAGAGCCUUUUUCGGUAACUUGCCGACAUGGUUUUGCUAUGCCAAGGCUAACACCAUAUUUUCCAAUUUAGGUAUCGGGGUAUGGCAUUUUGGGGUAAAUUCAUAGUUGAGGAUUUAGUUUGUAGUUUUAGGGAAAAUCGUUUGCUUGGAUAAAUAUAAUGGGGUUUGAAUAAUACUCGGUUUUCACUUGAUGUUUCAUUAUUUGCCUGAUGUUCUUAGUUGGCAAUGAUUAUUUCAAAGGGUAAGGAGGCAUGCACCGGUUUGAAAUGGCACCAUCCAGUUAUGCGAGUGAGAAGGGUCUCUUUUCUUUUUCUGGACACAGUGCAAUAGGAGAUCGUCAUAUAUUUUUUUCUUUUUCUGGACACAGUGCAAAUAGGAGAGUGCUCCUCUUUGCACAUUUGUGAGAACCAUUACAGGUUAUCAUAAAACAUGCGGUUAUGUGAAAAACAAAUCGGGGUUUCUUUCUUGAUAUUUAAGUCAAUUCAACGGUGGGAUAUGACUACCAUAAUCAUCACAAUCUGUUAUAGCGGCCUAGUACAUUCCUUGCGUUAUGCGUACAUGUUUGACCGAUGCUCGUUAGGAGCGGCAGGCCGGGGAGCAACCUGAAAGGAAAGCCAAACGAAAAGGCAGACGCUUGUGUGUGUCAUCUCAUUAUUACAGGAUUCAGCUCGUUGACGUAAACCAGGUCCUCAUUUUACUCCAAGACCUUUUCGUUUUCGGUUCCAUGGAGGCGGACGCCGAAUCAAUUUCUUAAACCGGAGGGGGUACGUUCAUGGCGGCCCUCAACCCCACUGAAACACACCGCCAUCACCCAAUCAAACCGCUCAAUCACCCCCACAACACGCCAGCCCCUAAUCAACCGCUCGUGAGCCAUCAUGCACACUGGACGCCCGAGAGACCCCGAGAGCGUUCGGUGCAACGACGCACCAACUCACUCACCACUUCAUCCAUCCUUUGACGCCAAGAUAAAACGAUGGAACAAAGACGGAGCAGCGCCCACUCAGUGACUGCCGGUAAGACCCAGAGCAGGCGCAGCAGCCAGCAGAUCAGAUGUGCCCCACCCGACAACGGUCACCA